UUUAAAAAUCGUUAGAUAUUAGCGCUGACGUCACACAUUCAGAGGGGUAUUCCUAAGCAUUAGCCCCUCUGAAUCAAAAUGCUGCAAUUUUUGAAAUUCAAUAUUUCCGAUUUAAGGCAUUUCUCGAUGUUGUGAGUGCCGAAACCGGUAAUUGUGAGCCAGGGACCCCAUUUUGGCUAUCUCAACUCAAAUCUAAUGUUAAGGUGGGAGGGUCCCUUUAAGUAUUGGUGAGGUUGAGGUAGGACGAGUAGCUGUGAUGGAUCUGAGUGCAGGUGAUAGCCAUGUCGGCUCUCGAGAGCCAUCACUCAGCUUCCUCCCCAAAGAGGUGCUGGCAGCAGCUCGGCCCGAGGUGCCUGGUGGACCGGGGGACGUCAGCUGUGAGGUGCUCAUCAUCGGCGCUGGAGUAGCCGGGCUCACUGCUGCUUAUGAACUGCUCAAACGGGAUCCAAACAUCAAUGUCUGUGUGAUUGAGGCCAAUGAUCGCGUUGGCGGUCGCACUCUGGCCACUCAGAUGCGUGUCAGGGAUGGUGCCACUGACACGUUUGACCUUGGUGGGCAGUGGGUGGCCCACGCCCAAAAGGAGAUUAUGGAAACCCUUUCUGAGCUCGGGCUGGAGGUGUACCCCGACAAUAUGCAGGGCGCGACACAGGUGCAGCUGAGUGGUCCCCGUGUGCGGCGGAUCGGCUCCCUCCCAAAUAUCGGCUCCUGGUGGGGCGUGGUCCAGCUGGCACGUCUCUACAGGAAGAUUAACAGUCUGGCCGAACAGUGCGCGCCUAGCAGCUCCUCCCGGGAGCGCGUGGAGCGGGAACUGAACUCCUUCACCCUGGAGGCGUACGCUCGACAGUACGUGAGCGAGGGGCCCGCCCUGGAGCUCGUCGCCACUCUGUGCAGAACCGAGUUAGGCUGUGAAGCCAGCCGUGUCGGUCUCGUCGAGUUUCUGUCGGAGACCCAGAGCGCCGGUGGUCUGUCAGGAACGAUGAGCGCGCAGGAGCUGAAGGUCAAGGGCGGCACGCAGCAGAUCAGCGAACUGCUGGCGGACCGGAUUGGCCGCCACCGUCUGUACCUGCGUCAUCCCGUCACCGACAUCACCGAGAGGCAGGACGGCGGCGUCAGCGUCACCACCGCCGCCGGCAACCUCUUCCACUGCCAGCGUGUAAUCUGCGCGAUACCGGUAGUGCAGCUGCCCUGGAUCCGAUUCGACCCGCCUCUGAGCCCACCCAAACGGGAGAUCAUCAGGAGCGCCAACACGGGACACCUCAUCAAAUUCAUCGUCACAUUUGAGCAGGCGUUUUGGCGCGAGUCGGGCCUGUCGGGCGCCACUAUCUCCAGCGGCGGCGGACAGCCGGAGGGUCCCGUCUCGGCUGUCGUGGACGCCACAACUUACAAAGGCAGCCCGGCACUGGUCGGCUUCAUCUCUGGACGCUUCAGCCUCCACUGGCAGUCUCGCACGAAAGAGGAGCGGGAGAACGCUGUGAUUUCGCAUCUGGUGGCGUUCUUUGGGCAGGACGUCAACCACUAUAUCGAGUACCAAGAAAAGGUGUGGUCGGAGGAGCGGUACGGAGGCGGCGCGCCCGGCUGCUCCUUUGGACCCGGUCUCACCAGUCUGAUGCCGGAGCUGACGAAGCCGCACGGAAGCGUAUCGUUCUGCGGUGCGGACAUUGCCAGCAAGUGGCCCGGCUAUAUGUGCGGCGCUGUCAUCACCGGCCGGCUGAGGGCGCUCGAGACGCUGUACGCCCUUCGCCCGGGCGCGCUCAGCCCCACUGAUCUGGAGCGGAUCGGAAAACGCGGCGGCUGAGGUCUGUCGGUCACCAAGCACACCCCUGGCUCGGUGGAGGCUGCCUGCCAGGACGUCCGGCGAGGUGCCGGCCCGUGCCGGGCAGUACCCUGAUGUGGGAUAGCACCCUCGGCCUGGCUAUCCGGCCGUUUGUCGUCCUCUUCCUGGUGAUGCUUCAGCGGAGGUUCUUGGGAGGCGGCAUCGCAGCCUUCGGCGUCGACUUCUGAGAACGGUGGUGGGUCAGCGCAUCUACACACUUUGCUUCGGUCGUAGUGAGAGUGUUAUAGGCGACACUAGGCAGUGAUAUUAUGUUACGCAGAGAUACUUGAUCGAGCACGGGUUAUCAAUCGUUAGACCGUCAAACAAAUUAACGGUUGUGAUCGGAAUAUGGCAUUUGGAUGUUUCGCGAGAGGUGAUUUUAUGAUUGCUUUGUAACCAGUAACUUUAACAGGCCUGUGGUUUGCCAAUCACUAGAUGCUGAGCUAAAAAGCU
This is an RNA transcript of Amphibalanus amphitrite, 2266 nucleotides long. It is a transcript of the gene named probable flavin-containing monoamine oxidase A, with no coding region annotated. Lineage: Eukaryota; Metazoa; Arthropoda; Thecostraca; Balanomorpha; Balanidae. The record is from RefSeq and is a predicted model, not a curated record. The transcript is spliced from 14 exons.